GUCAGGGGCACGCCCCGCUCCCCGUUCGCCUCACUUUCUGUUUACUGUUGCUGAUAAGUGUGGUAGCAGUUGCUGCAUUGUUUGCCCUUUGUUUAAGGCUGUUUUUCUUCAUUUGUGGUUACAGUAGCCAUCAUUUUUAUAGAGUCACUGUUGAGCCUCCGUAGCCUGAUAGGUGAGCCGCUCGCAGGCUGCUGUGGUGCAUCCAGUCAGAGUCGUGAGCCACUUGCAGGCCGUUACUGGCCGUAACCAUGGCCGCUGGUUGCUCCCCGUUCCCUCGUUCUGGACCGACUCACCGAUUGGCGUGGCCAACGCUUAUCUGGAACUGUGCCGGCUACGCUGGGUCACGGACGUAGGAGACGCUGCUGCUUUGCCUCCAUGGGUCGGCCGACGCCACCUGUUGGCUUUGUCUUCUUUCAGUCUGUUAUCUGCUUCUGUGUUGGUGCUGCGGGUGUUGGGCUGCCUCAGCUCGUUUCUGUGGCCGCUGACCAACGUCCUACAUGCUGCUUAUUUUAACGUUCUGUGUGUAUGUGUGAAAGUAGGGUUUAAUUUUUCUUUUUCUGUUUUUUAAAUAAUUUACUGCAGUCAUGUGACCAUUUGUCUAUUAGGUAUUUGCUUUGUCUGAAUUAUGAUUUUUUUUUGUCACGUGACUGCACUUGGUUAGUCGUUUUACAUUAUCAGUUGAUUUUGUUUAAUUUAUAAGUUAGUG
Molecule: long non-coding RNA, 706 nt
Organism: Amphiprion ocellaris (clown anemonefish)
Lineage: Eukaryota; Metazoa; Chordata; Actinopteri; Pomacentridae
Source: Ensembl